GCAGCCGCGGUAAUACGUAGGUGGCGAGCGUUGUCCGGAAUUACUGGGCGUAAAGGGCGUGUAGGCGGGAAUUUAAGUCAGAUGUGAAAGACCCGGGCUCAACUUGGGGACUGCAUUUGAUACUGGAUUUCUUGAGGACAGGAGAGGAAAGCGGAAUUCCUAGUGUAGCGGUGAAAUGCGUAGAUAUUAGGAGGAACACCAGUGGCGAAGGCGGCUUUCUGGACUGUAACUGACGCUGAGGCGCGAAAGCGUGGGGAGCGAACGGGAUUAGAUACCCC
RNAcentral lists this ribosomal RNA (278 nucleotides) under uncultured Negativibacillus sp. Its description in RNAcentral is "partial 16S ribosomal RNA". It matches the Rfam family "Bacterial small subunit ribosomal RNA", at positions 511 to 788 of the family's 1533-position model. Lineage: Bacteria; Bacillati; Bacillota. The record is from RNAcentral.